AUAGGGGAGGGUCCAAUGGUGGGGGGGGUCUCAUUGUCCCCAUGGGGGGGUCCCUGUUCCCCCCCCCCCAGGUGGAGUUCCAUCUGUGUAUCCGUGUGGGGGGCACCGUCAGUUCCUGCAGCCAUGGGUGAGCAAAGACCCCCCCCCAAAUAAAGGGGUUCUACCCCAUGGUUGCCCCAUAGGGCUGCCCCAUAGGGCUACCCCAUAGGGCUGCCCCAUAGCUCUGCCCCAUAGCUCUGCCCCAUAGGGCUGCCCCAUAGCUCUGCCCCAUAGGGCUGCCCCAUAGCUUUACCCCAUAGGGCUACCCCAUAGGGUUACCCCAUAGCUCUACACCAUAGGGCUGCCCCAUAGCUCUGCCCCAUAGGGUUACCCCAUAGCUCUGCCCCAUAGGGCUGCCCCAUAGCUCUACCCCAUAGGGCUGCCCCAUAGCUCUGCCCCAUAGCUCUGCCCCAUAGGGCUGCCCCAUAGCUCUGCCCCAUAGCCAGGAGAGCGCAUGGGUCCUGGAUGGGCUGCGGCUGCGGGUUCAGAGCCGACACUUCAUGCGCACCGGGACCCCUUCCAGCCCCACAACCACGGUUCCCGGCAGCUGGUUCUGACCCAUUUGGAGCCAACAUUGAGCUGCAGCCGAUCCCUGUUGGGCCGGGCAGUGAAGGAGCUGCUGCACCCACUGCUGGAUGGGGUGACAAGGAGGAAUAGGGUGACCCCAUAGGGACACAUAGAGACCCAUAGAUACCCCAUAGGGACCCAUAGAGACCCAUUGAGACCCCAUUGAGAGCCAUUGAGACCCCAUAGGGACACACAGGGACCUGCUGCACCCGCUGCUGGAUGGGGUGACAAGGAGGAAUAGGGUGACCCCAUAGAGACCCCAUAGAGAUCCACUGAGACCCAUAGAUACCCAUAGAGACCCAUAGAGACCCAUAGAGACCCAUAGAGACCCAUAGAGAUCCAUAGGAGCCCAUAGAGACCCAUAGAGACCCCAUAGAGACNCCCAUAGAGACCCAUAGAGACCCAUAGAGAUCCAUAGGAGCCCAUAGAGACCCAUAGAGACCCCAUAGAGACACAUAGACCUCAUAGAGACCCACUGAGAUCCAUUGAGACCCAUUGAGACCCAUAGAGACCCAUAGAUACCCAUAGAGACCCAUUGAGAUCCAUUGAGACCCCAUAGAGACCCAUAGAGACCCCAUAGAGACCCCAUUGAGACCCAUUGAGACCCCAUAGAGACCCAUAGAGACCCAUAGGGAUCCAUAGGAGCCCAUAGGGACACACAGGGACCUGCUGCACCCACUGCUGGAUGGGGUGACAAGGAGGAAUAGGGUGACCCCAUAGAGACCCCAUAGAGACCCAUAGAGACCCAUUGGGAUCCAUAGAGACCCAUUGAGACCCAUUGAGACCCCAUUGAGAUCCAUAGAGAGCCAUUGAGAGCCCAUAGGGACACACAGGGACCUGCUGCACCCGCUGCUGGAUGGGGUGACAAGGAGGAAUAGGGUGACCCCAUAGAGACCCCAUAGUACCCCAUAAAUACCCCAUAGGGACCCAUAGGGACCCCAUAGGGAUCCAUUGAGAUCCAUAGAGACCCAUAGGGAUCCAUAGAGACCCAUAGAGAUCCCAUAGAGACCCAUUGAGAGCCAUUGAGACCCCAUAGGGACACACAGGGACCUGCUGCACCCACUGCUGGAUGGGGUGACAAGGAGGAAUAGGGUGACCCCAUA
This 1709-nucleotide long non-coding RNA is filed under the name Coturnix japonica (Japanese quail). Its description in RNAcentral is "lncRNA (ENSCJPG00005001639.1)". Lineage: Eukaryota; Metazoa; Chordata; Aves; Galliformes; Phasianidae. The record is from RNAcentral.